Myotis davidii is the source of this 75-nucleotide non-coding RNA. The record is from Rfam. NCBI's taxonomy places the organism in Eukaryota, Metazoa, Chordata, Mammalia, Chiroptera, Vespertilionidae.
GGAGGUUCUCGGGUUACACACCCCGGAAUCGGGAUCCCUUCUCUCUGGUUCUGCGUGCGUCACCUGAGAACUGCA